This 5541-nucleotide long non-coding RNA is filed under the name Pelobates cultripes (western spadefoot toad). Lineage: Eukaryota; Metazoa; Chordata; Amphibia; Anura; Pelobatidae. The record is from RNAcentral.
CUUUAAUAUAUUAUAUGUAAGGAAACCAAGUAUAUUUAAACCUCAUUCGGUAGUUUCCUCCCGAACCGCCAGAGCAUCAGUGAUUAUAGCUCUCCAUUCGGUAGAUAAAGUAGACGAACUGUAUAGUAAUCCCAAUAGCUUCAUAAAAUAAUUCCCUUAGUGAAGCACACAAAUCCCCAAACAUCAGCCGAAGUCAAGAAGAAGGGUACAACUGAACUGAGCUUUAAUGAUUGCACACAGGCUUUUAUGCAAGUCCCCAUGCAAGGGGACAUCCCCCAGGGAGGGACAGAGAUUAACCAAUCGGGCACAGUAAAAACAUAACUGUAGCGGAGACCUGGUAUUUCACAGGUUAACUCCACUAAAUAUCCCAUUGAGGCUCAGGAACAAGUAGUAAAAAUACCAUAGAGUAAUAAUCCCAGCAAGCAAGGUAAUCCACGAAUAUCCCCAUACAGAUCCCAAUGACUGGUCGACACACAGCAUCAGGUGCAGACCUGACUUUUAAUCCACACAACCUCCUUAUAAAGCAUUCUCCCAUGCAAGGGAGGGAUUCACCAUAAUUAGGACAGUAACCAAUAAUGUCACAGUUACCUCCCACACAUCUCCUCCCCUCAGUGUGACACAUAAUCCCAUUAACCAUGCUGUAGUUUUCCCUGAGUUCUGGAUGUACCCCAAAACAAGCAGUUAGAAUAAUACUUUGGGUACCCCCUGAUAGCCCUGAUCUGGGUGACUAACAUAUCCAAAAUUCACCCUGGGGUCCGGGAGUUAGCGAAUAAAGUACCGAAUGGAUCCCCCUGGCUCUCAGCAGCGAUUGUUCCCCUCUGUCGAAUGCACCAAAGUACCGAAUAGCGCUCUUCUAGCUAUUCGUAAUUAGAGUUCCAGCAUUCGUCUGUUUGAGACCGGUGUUCGUGAAGUCGAGUGUCCGAUUUUAGUUCCAGACACUCAACAACCAAGUCCCGCUGCCUUUGUUUCGGCUGAAAAAAGAUGGCCACGGUUUUUCAGCCACGUGGCGUUCGGUAGUAUGAACGCUGGCCGCACAGAUAGAGGGGUUGAUUGACGAUUCCUUUGAAGCUUAAUGAGCCAGGGGGGUCUUUGUUCGGUAGUUCAAUCUACCGAAUGCAUAAAGGUAAAAUGAGGUGAAUAACUAGUCAAUAAAUAGGGAUUUCUUCACAUUAUACAUAUAUAGGAAAUAAAAGUGUGGGGGGGGGAGGCUGCACUCACCUGAACACGCCUAAAUGGGGUGCUGCUGGGGGCCAAAUUAUACAAUACACAAGAUCCAGCGCACUCACCUUUCCACUGAACAGCAACAAUGUUGACAGGUUUUAUUAGUUUUUUUUUUUUAAAACACCUAAUCUAGGCAAAAAUAAUGGUGGUUUAGUUACAUUAUAUGAUCAUACAUUGCAUAAGCCUGCCACAACGUCAAUGUACCCCAUCUUUGGCAGGUCCUACACUAACAGCCUAAUGUCUGCUCUUAUGACAUUAACCCACUUACUUUGGGGAAAUAAUUCCAUGCAAUGUAUGAUCACAUAAUGUAACUAAACCCCCAUUAUAUUUGCCAACAUUGAAGUUGUUGUUUAAUAGAGAGGGGAGGGCGCUGGAUCUUGUGUAUUGUGUGUUUGUGUGUAUGUAUGUAUGUGUGUAUAUAUAUAUAACAUAUACACGGAUCCAAGUCUUGUGUUUGCCCUGGUGCGAUCGCCAGCCACACUAUAUGCAAAAAAGAUGAAUGCACUCUGGGGUUUUAAUUGAAGUAAAGUAUUGCUUUUAUUCAGCACAUUACAAUCAUUGUUUCAGUCCGAGUAGACUUUUUUCAAGAUGGGGUUAUUUCACAUUCCUGGGUUACCAUAUGGUAACACAGACCCGGCAAACUGAAUUGGGCAAGCCCUAUAUAUAUCCUGUAACUUUCCAAAACACAUGGGGGAUAUUGUUAUAGUCAGGAGACUUCACUCAACACAAAUAUGAGUGUUUAAAACUGUACCCAUCACGACGAUGAAAUCACCAGUAAAAGUGCAAUUUUUGUGUAAGAAAAAAUGCAAAAAACAAAUAUGAAAGCUAACUUUGGCAAGCAUUUGUGGCUAAGUGGCUACUAGAAAAGACUGGAGAUACCCCAUUCUGAAUACCCUGAGUGGUCUACUUUGUAAAAUGGUAUGUCAUGGUGGGGUUCAUUUUCAUUUAUGUGCUGGCUGCCAUACUGUCUCAAAGGCAACAUAGCCCAUCUGGCAAAUAGCAAUUUACAAAAAUUGACAAAUCUUAUGCUUGACCCUGUAACUUUCCAAAUCACCAUAAAACCUAUACUUGAGGGGUACUGUUGUACUCGUGAGACAUUAUACAAAUAUGAGUGUUUUAGAGCAGUAAAAUGUAUUAUUCUGAUAUCAUUGGUGAAAUGGCAGUUUAUGUGUGAAAAAUGCAAAAAAAACUAAUAUAAAUGCUAAUUUUGGCCAGGGUUUGUGACUAAGUAGCUACUAAAAAGACCUAAGACCAUUUUGAAUACCGUGGGUUGUGUACUUUUACAAAUGGUAUACCAUGAUGGGGUUAAUUUUCAUUCCUGGGCUGCUAUACGAUCUCAAAGGCAACAUAGGCCCAUCAAACCAAUCUGGCAAAUUUCAAUGUGCAAACAUGGGAAAGGGGAAAGCCCUACAUGUGACCCAUGUAAGUUUGCAAAAAACCAUAAAACCUGUACAUUGGGGGCACUGUUGUACUCAGAAGAUGUUGCUGAACACAUAUUGGGGGUUUUUUGUCAGUAACACAUACCAGGAACUGAGAAUCCAUGCCUAAAAUACAAUGUGAGAGAAAAAUAACAAAAUUACCACCCAAAUGUUUGACAAAGACUGGUUGUAGAAUUAGUGAAUGGAAAGUGUUAAACCACCAUUUGAAAUGCCCUAGGGUGUCUACUUUUCAAAAAUAUAUGGUUUGAUGAGGGUAAAUUACAUUGACUGGCUUCAAAAAUUUCCCAAAUCGGACAUGGGUGCAUGAAGACCAGCUGUGAAAUUUCCAAGUUGGAAAACUGGAAUACACACCCUCUAUAUAAGGUCUUUUAGCCCCCAGAGAACAUGACACACCUGUACAUGGGGGGUAUCACUGUACUCUGGAGAUGUUGCUGAACACAUACUGGGAUUUUCUUUUGCAGUAACCCUUAAAGGUCUUAGUACAUAUAUUAUGUGGGUUCAGAAAAAUCACCAAUUAUCAUUUUUUUUAUUUGGCAUAGAUUGGUGGUAAAAUGGUUGCAUGAAAACAGUAAAAAUACCGUAAGUUUAAUACCUUAGGUUGUCUUCUUUAAAAAAAAUAAUAUGCAUGUGAAGGGUUAUUCAGGGAUUCCUGAGAGAUAUCUGAAAAAAAAAUUUAUUUGGAAAUUGCAAAGUGCUACUUGUACUUAUUUCCCUAUAACUUGCAAAAAACAAAAAGCUAAGAACGUGUUAACAUUGGGUAUUUCUAAACUCAGGACAAAAUUUAGAAACUAUUUAGCACUGGUGUUUUUUGGCGGUUGUAGAAGCGCAACAGUUUUUUUGGAUCAAAGUCCAAAAAAGGGUGUUUUUUAAAAGAUUUUCAUCAUAUUUUAUAGUAAAUGAUAUGAUGAAAAUAAUGGUAUCUUUAGAAAGACCAUUUAAUGGCGAAAAAAACGGUAUAUAACGUGUGGGUACAGUAAAUGAGUAAGAGGAGAAUUACAGCUAAACACAAACACCGCAGAAAUGUAAAAACAGCCCCUGAUCCCAUACGGUAAGAAAAUUGAAAAGUGGUCUGGUAACUAAGGGGCUAAACAAACAAAAAAAACAUAUGGGCAUAUUUUUGAACCAAAUUGACAUUUGUCAGUCCAGAACAGUGUUCACAUGUGCCAGGGGUUAAACUAGCUCCUAGCACACAAGUGCAGGUAUCUCUGGGUAUGGAUUGUUUCAAGCUAAAGCUGUGCACAUACAGAGUCCUUCUAAAAGCAGAAGUGGUAAUAGCGGUUGCAAUAACCCUUUAAAAGGACAUGAUAAGAGCUCUAUAAUCUUGUUGCUGGUAGGCUGCGAGAGCAUAUUUAAGGAGAAUUAGCACUGGCAGAUACUUUAACUAUAAAAUGAAGAAGUCACACUUCAUUAUCACAUCUCCAGCAGUGAAGGGGUGGGCUUUGGAUACUAGAGAUUCUAUUUUUUACAAUAUACAGUAAAGUAUUCACGUUUACAUUUUAUAAUAAAUUCUGUGUUUGCAUGGUUAGCUUGUUUUUUUGUUGUUGUCACUUUUGUACCCUGAUUUUGAAAGUGUUUGGACAAAAAAGCAACAAUUAGUAACCAAGCUGGGUAAUUUUGAAAGUUGUGCAAUUCAGUUGGAAUUGAUUAUGUAGUUAAUUAACACAUGCAUGUUUAAGAUGUAGAGAUCUGGAUUGUGAUAGAAUAACAAUGCUAUUAUUGAAGUGUGAUAAAUGUAUCAUAUUCCAGUGGGAUCGUAUAAUAUAGCUAUAAUUCUGGUAUUGUCGAUGUGUGAUAAAUGUAUCAUAUUCCAGUGGGAUCGUAUAAUAUAGCUAUAAUUCUGGUAUUGUCGAUGUGUGAAAAUUUAUCAUAUUCCAGUGGGAUCGUAUAAUAUAGCUAUAAUUCUGGUAUUGUCGAUGUGUGAUAAAUGUAUCAUAUUCCAGUGGGAUCGUAUAAUAUAGCUAUAAUUCUGGUAUUGUCGAUGUGUGAAAAUUUAUCAUAUUCCAGUGGGAUCGUAUAAUAUAGCUAUAAUUCUGGUAUUGUCGAUGUGUGAUAAAUACUUGUAUCACAUAUAAUAUAGCUGUUAGAAUGGUUCACAUGAAUCAGUUUACCUGUAUCAAAGAAUAUCUUGUGCAACUGCAGUGUCCAGGGGACCCAAGUAAGUUCUCAAACCAUACUAACAUGUUUUGACCACUUCGCAUAGGACAAUGUUUGAGCUAUCCUGGCAGGAUGUUAUGGUGUCCAGGGUGUACCUUUAAAAGAUAGCGGAACAAAUACAAUGUCCUUUGCCAUUCUUCAUGUGCUGGUGAAUUGAAUGAAAGCAAUUUAACUUACAGUUAGAAAUCUGAGGAAUCUUUGUACUUUAAUAUUACCCAAUAAAAUGUACAAAAUAUACCCAGAUAAGACACGGUUCUCAACAAGGGACUUAUUUUUUCUUAUAUUCAUAAAGACGUGUCCUAUUUAAUUACAUCUGUUUAGCGGUCGCUGGCGAAAGUCAUGAAACAUUGGAUUAACCUGUCCUCUUAAAUCAUCGUCCACAAAUGAGAGCCUUGAAAUCAGAACUCCCUGAUAUGCUGUCUAGAUUAUUGUGCUCAUUGAAUUAUUUCCAAUUGCUAUCUUACAACACUUCUAUCCAUGCGUGUACCAGUGGAAACCCUAAAACUACAAUUGUCUGGGGGUUCGUGGAUUUUUCAAUACGAUAUCUCACUCACUGAUUUGUGCUUACUUCCCUGCUCCAUGGCUGAUCUAUGCUCUCACUACCUGCUGCGAUCUCCUAAGAGAGUGUUUAUAUGCUGGUUUGCCAUAUUGUAAUGGUGAGCUCAUCUAUUCCUUCUGCUUGCAUGCUCUAUGUAUCCCUGAACUAUGCAAUAAAACAUUACUACAC